Molecule: long non-coding RNA, 3947 nt
Organism: Pezoporus flaviventris
Lineage: Eukaryota; Metazoa; Chordata; Aves; Psittaciformes; Psittacidae
Exons: 3
Source: RefSeq, a predicted model, not a curated record
CUUUUUCCUCCUUGUUAAAUCUGUUAUUGUAGACUAAAAUGCACUCAUUUCUGGUGCGAGAGAAUUUCUGGCUUAUGUACUACAUGCUAGCUCCCAAAGGAUAAAAUAAUACCAAAAAUUUGUAAAUCCAGCCAUGUGUGACACUGUGGUAUAUACAUAUAACUUAAUUUCAGUAGCCAUUACUAAUAUAGGCCAGAAUAAAGUUAUUAAGGUUUCCUGCUCAGCGUAACUUUAAUCAAAAAAUAACAAGUGCUUUUGAGUACUUCUCAUAUCAUUAAACCUGAUUGUGUUCUUCAGCAAAUGUUCUGGCUAGUCCUGGCAACUUCCCUUAUGUUCCAUAGAUUGAUCUCUUCCUGCAGACAUUUUCUUACUUAAAGUUCAAUCUGUUUUUUGCCAAAUGGGAUUAUGUAGGGUUUUUUAAAUCACGCGCAUAUGUGCUUGAGGUGGCUUUUAAGCAGUAGAUUGAAGUUUUAGGGUGUGACAUUUUUCAGAGAACUUUAGCAUAGAAGGCACCUGAACCUAACCUUGAUAAAGUUUGCAAAAUUUAUAUAGCCUUUGACGUAUUUGUGAUGUGUAUGAUGGUGUAACACUUCUGUUAUGCCCCCAUAAAACCUUUAGGAGUACAAACAUACAAUUUCUGAGCAUCCUUACAUUACAAGCAGACAACACUGCAGAUAUUUCAUAGUACCCAAUAAAUAUAUUUUUCCAGUUUUCAUCAUUAAAAUAUUUAUUUGGCCUCCAAAGCCUUAAAUAAGAAAAUUUAUGCAACUUUCCUGUCUGUGCGACAGAACUUGUGCACUUGUUCCCUCAAAAUAUGUAUUAAAAUCAUAACAGGAACUGGAGUUCUCCAUCCUACUGUGAUUUUCGCCUGAAAGUCUAAAAAAGCAGCAAGCAAACAAACAAAACCCUGUAAAUUUUAAAUUCCCUUUUCAAAUUUUCUGAGUCAAAUUCUUGUUCAUGAGUUUGUGUAAAAUUAGGAGCUCAUAGUUUGGCUCACUUUAUGAACAUUCCUUGACACUGAAAGAUUAUUUUCUGUAACCCUUAGCGCAGUGUGUGCAUGCAGGUCUCCAGGUGCCUGUGUUCACUUCCAUGAACAUAGGGAAGUAAAAUCGUGUUUUCACUGCAGAUAUACAUGUGGAAUCUGCACACAGUGAGCAUUGAACUGCAUGAAAACAAAGGAGUCUCUUCAUUCUUAGUUAUUGAAUCUUGUUACUGUUUAUAUAUUAGACCAAAAUGAACCAUCACACUUUUCUGUAGUGACCUUGAGGUGGCAGCAGCAUUACAUUCAAUUCUGCCAGACACCAAGUCCAUUAAAGGGGAAAGUAAAAUUUGCAAUAAAUCAAAAUAAUACUGAUUGUUAUAAUUUUAUUACCAGAGCAUUAAGUCAAUAAAACUUAUCUGAAAUGUCAUUUGCAUUGUACACAAUUUUUACUAGUUAUCAAGUAUGUUUUAAAAGCAUGUUUAAAGCAACCAAAUGAAGAAAUCAGUGAUAAAUUGUUGGAAAGCUGGGACUUGUCUAAUGAUGUAGUAAAACUAAAGUCUGUUUUGAUCUCUGCUAUUGUAAAAGACUGUUUCUGAAAGCAUUUGUUCGUACAGUAACAUCUUGGGUCUUGACUGACUGAUGUCUGAUUAAAUAUUUUCCUGCAAGUUGUCAGGUCCUUUUUCAUUCAUGAUUUUAUGUAGAAAGGUCAUCUAAUUAUAUGACACCCUUUCAGUGAAGGAGAAUGUGUUUGUUUCUUUUAAUAAUGAGGAAUAAUGAAACUUAUUUAUGUUGGAAGUCAGAGAAAUUUAUUGGAGAAUUACAACAUGAGAAACAUGAAAAUUAAAAAAACCCUUUUAAUAGCAUAUUCAUUACCAAGAAGCUCACAGGUAAUGAAAUAGUUGUAUGAAAGCCAGUAUAUUGGGUGAUAUAAUACUGCUCAUGUCAGUUUUCAGGUUAUGGUUGUUGGACAUUUCUAUGUUGUCAAUUACUAUUAGGUUACAAAAUUAUUAUUAGCUAAUUAGUCAAAAUAGGAGACACUAGAAGAAAAGGUUAAAAACAUUUGUUUUUUACAAACUUUGAAUCAGCUUCUGGCUGGGAAGCUGGUUGGUGUGUAGUAAUACUCCACAAUGAUCCUGGGGCGUGGGUUUUGUUGCCGCUGUUCUGCAAGACUAGCGCAAGUUUGGUCUGGAAGUCAAACGAGGUAUCUGUUACUCAAUUUAGUGAUGUUGAAAAAACAACAUUCAAAACUAGUUAUCAUAACUAAUGCAGGAAAAUAAUGUUACUAAUGUGUUUAUGUAACAGUUAAAAAUGGAUUUGAAGGAAACCCUUUGUCUGACUGCUGCUAAAGGAGUCCCAAUUACUGACUAAAGAUAGCUUAUGUAAUAGUUGAAAUAAUGCAGUGAUAAUUUAACAAAAAAUAAGGUUAUAUGUUGAUAAUUUAAGUUUGUCAUUUAUUCAAUAUUUAGGGGUUUAUGUUUAUUCUAAGACAGGACAUUUAGACCAGUUUACCCCUAUAUUCACAUUUCACUUGUUUUAUUUGUUGACCAGUUGUUCCUUGACAACUUUUUCAAUACCUCAUGAAAUACAAAUAUUAAAUAUAAACUAGUAUAGCAACAUCUAAACAAAAAUAUAAAUAUAUGUUGAAUUAUAGUUCCAGAAUGAUGUGUUAGUAGAUUUAAAAAGCAGAUGGAGAAUUACAAACCAGAAGCCAAACAGAGAUUACAACACAUGAAUACCAUUUGGGCUGUGCCAGUGGUUAUCACAGCCAAUACAAAUAGUAUUACUUCAACUAAGACAUAGAGUUGGUCUUUUACUUCUUCUGAUUAGUACUUUAUUUUUUUCUUUGUCACACUUUGAUGGUUUUUAAGCUGACUUCUAUGAUUUUACAGUGUCCAAAGUUAUGGAUGCGGCAGAAUAACCGAAGAAACAGUAUUCCUGUGAGGAAUGUAAUUCACUAUAUAAAUCAGUGUGGAAAUGUCAAAAGAGGUAGAGUAGAUUUGCUAUUGAAGGAGAAAGGAAGCAGUUGUCCCAAACUUCAAAGAUGGGUGGCCUUUGCACCUCUUCUGAAAUAGUAAGCAUCAAAGAGAAACCUCAAGAUGAAUGAAAAUGUAGCAGAUCCACAGGCAAUGUAGAUAGUGCUGAGCAAGGAAAGAGAAGUAGAAAGUACUCAUGAGCAUGGGAAAGUGGGAAGACUUGCAGAAAAUGUAAGAAGUAGGUAUGCUGAAAAUGGGGUUAAGUUCCAUUUUACUGGCAGACACAGUGGUUUUGUGUGUAGUUUUCAUUAAGUAAUUACAUGCAUACUAUACCGUUUGAUUUGCAAACGCAAACUGUAUCACAUGUACAAAAUAAAUGACUGUUCUAUGGAAAAUAUGGCCCUGAAUAGAAUUCGGGAAUGACAGUUCUUACAGUUUGGUGGAAUUAAGAGUUACAAUUCAACUAUGUAAUUAACUUCUUUGAAAUGAAUUUGUCACUAUGUGAAAAACAAGAAUAGGUAAUAUUGAAGUGGUUAAUACUAAAAUAAAUGAAAUGGGCAAGAACUGAUGUGCUCUAAUAGAGUAAAAAUCUAUCAGAGGUGACUGAAACAUGUUAGAAAUUAAAACAUUAAUAAUAACCAGCAGUACCCAGAGAGAAUGAAAACGUCAACAGAGUAAUGACAUUAAAUGUCCAAAAUGUUUUGUAAGAUGCUGAGUGAUACUUUGAGAAGAUACAGAGUGGCAGGAGAGGGCUUCAGGUAGAAAUGGAGAUGAAAAAUACAGGACAUUCUGAGAAUAGCUGAAGGCAGUGAACAUAUUAGGGGGAAGUAUCUUAUUCUGGCCCUGUUUUCUUCAUACCUUCUGCUUACACCCAGUGUUGGUGACAGAGUACUAUGUUAAAUUUCCUGUUGAUCUGCGGCUGUGACUUGAGCUUUAGAGUCUGAGUGUGCAUCACCCUGAAUGGUGUGUGAGUGAUGGAGAAUCCUUACUUC